This is a long non-coding RNA of Phlebotomus papatasi, 4478 nucleotides long. RefSeq lists it as uncharacterized. Lineage: Eukaryota; Metazoa; Arthropoda; Insecta; Diptera; Psychodidae. The transcript has 3 exons. The record is from RefSeq and is a predicted model, not a curated record.
UGAAAUCUUGCCUCCUAACCAUAAGCACACACUCGAGAGUGCUCGAGCCCAGGGCUGCAAGAAGUUAGGACACUUCGGGUACAACCUCCAGGCACCAGGAGCAGCAAGAGGGAUGGGCUUUUCAGUUGCAAUCCACACCCUCCUAGUGUCAGUGAUUACCUAUUUUUCUGUGCAUUCCUGAAGACACCUGAGAGGAAAAUUUGUCAAUAAAACUUCCGCAGAGACCAACUUCAUUCGUUCGGUCAGCUGAUAUGCCCCUGGCACCCCUGGACACGUCUCCGAGGCCAUCUCCUUGGCCAGUUCUUCAGGUUGCUUCUUGGUGACGCGGCAGAAAUCCGCCUCUGUCCAACUGGCCACUAAUUGUGUCAACUGCCAAUGGAGUCUUGCAGCUCAGCAACAAGCACCAUGAAUGGGAUGAUGAUCUGGCAACGCCAGAGCCAAUUUGGGAGAGAUUCCAGCGAUUUGUCUUGAUUCUUUCACCACAUCAUUCAUUACAUUCUGCCAAAUGCUGUGGCCACAGAAAACUCAGAAAGAAAAAACAAAACUCUGAGAAGAAAUUGAUAAGUAUUUCCAGGCUGAAUAAGCAUUUUAAUCCCACUCCUAAGUCCUAGUCUCCAAAAUGCUCUCGCUCGUAAAUCCAACUCAGAAAAAAAAAUUCAUGAAAGAGAAGUAAAAAAAGAAAAAGAAAACAUAGCGCCAUUAAUUGAAUAUCAUUUGAAAUUUAAAUUGGUGAAUUUAAAAUUUGAUGGCACUUUUCCACGCUAAAAAGAGAAAGACAGGCCUCACUCUAUUUUUAGGAGAUAAUCUCCUAAAUUAGCUCCAAAUUUAUCUCAAUAGAGAAUUCAAAUCUAUCUCACUCUCCAUCACCAACGAAUUAAUGAGAUUUCAGUGGCAGAAUAAUUUCUCACCAUACUUGUCAUCCCAAUGUUUGAGCUACUCCCUUUCUUCUGAUAUUUUCAUCUGCACAGAGAGAAAAUUCAAUUGGGUGAAACACAAGUCAAGGGGGGUGGAUUGCCCAAUCAUGGUGUACUCUGGAGGGUUAAAAUUUAGAACACAUGCUGAAAACUUGCUUGAAUUUUAAUACAAGCAGAUAAUUAUUAUUUUCGUAAAUAUUCCAUGCUAAUUAAAUUAGCAUAAAUUAACUGCCAAUAAACAGUUAGAUGGGAACACGUUUUUGUGAUAAUUUAGGAAACACUUUAUAUACUAAAAUUUUAAUACAUUCACAGUGAAUUUCUGUGAAAGUCACGAAUCAUUAAUUUACCAUUUACUUUGCCUGAGUAUUCUGAUUUUGAUGAGUUAUUUUUUUUAGUACAGAAAAGCCUAUUCCAGUAAAAUCAGGUGUUCUAAAAAUUGAAAAUGUCUGAGAAGGGGAUGAAAAGUAAGAAUGAACACGGAAAUAUUCAAAGAAGUUAGUUUAUGAAAAAUAUCACACUGGGAGCCACAUAAAAUUUAUAGUAAAUUCAUAUUUUAGUACUAAAAUUUCGGUCAAAAUCUUUUAACACAUGUGUCAAAUAGUGAAAUGAAAUUAUGGAUAAAUUUAGUUUGGUGUUAAUUUAAAUUCACUAUUAUCGAAUUAAACGGGUUAAAAGCUACCUGAAAGUCUUAAAAAAUGAAAUACUAAAUGUUUCUCCUACGGAAGCGGCAUGAUUUCCUGAUACAGAUCCUUUAUUUCAACAAAAAAAAAUAGAAAUAUAAAUUCAAGUAAAUAUUUUUGGAUAAAAAUACUGGACUUGGUGACUGCAUCACGAGAUUAUUUUUCUUGACAAUCUUAAUUGGAAUACACUCAGAAUAACUGUACUAAAAAUUAGUACUACAAAAAUUGUACUCUGGGAAUUAUUUUGCAUCCCUGCUUUUCGUAAGCUUUUGCUUUAUUCUAGCACCGAUGUAAAGAUUGAAGUUUUUUUGACGUAUUAGUACUAAAAAAAAAUUUUCCUCAAGUCUUUUAUUUACUAAACAUUUUUUAGUAACUAACUUCUUAAAGGUAUCACAUUUCGCUAGCUCUCCGUUAUAAAUCUUCGCACUAUUCUAAAGGUGCUUAUUAUAUUUAGAAUACUUGAUUUUAGAAAUACGUUUUGAAAUCAAUUUAAUUGAAAAGAAAUAAAGAAAAAGAAAAAACUAUUAUUACCGUCACGUAGGGGAUACGCUGUUCUAAAAUUUCAACAGUAAUUUACUUAAAAUUCGGGUGUGCAAUUUGCUUUUCAAACAGAGUAUUAAAGACUGAACAAGUAAGUUCACUUUUGUAGCCCCAAAAAAUGGACAAAUCAUUAAGUUAAUCAAAAUAUUUAAUAUUGGUAAUAAUUUAAUAAUAUGGUCAGUAAAACUGAAAAUUGGUAAGUAGUGAAAUAUUAUUGGCAAAGAAAAAUUAAAAAGUUAUGGACCAUUUUAAUUUUUAUAGCUCUAGCACACCUUUUAGAUCAGGAAAAUUUCAUAAGGUCAAAAUUCAAAUACAUUACUUUCUUAAAAGUUUUGCAUGUCUAUCCUACUUUUUCGAAUUCUUCUUUUUUUUUGAACAUCACACGAAAUUAAAUUUAGCUCAGUCCAAUUUGAGACGGAAAGAGUGGGAUAGACUUAUGCAAAUUCAUUGAGAAAGAAAAGGACACGAAUUUUGAUUUCAUGAAAUUUUACCGAGCUAAAAGGUGUGCCAAAGGGAUUACUGACCAAUUUGAAUAUUUUGCUUGCCAAAAUUACUAACUCGCGGACCAAAUAUGCUUUUUCUUUCAACCUUUAUACCUCUAGCCCCUCCAUCACACCUUUUAGAUCAGAAACAAUCAAUCAAAUUAAAAUUUAUAUUCCUAUUUUCCUGUAACAGCAAAUUCAAUUUAGUUUAAUUAAAUUUGAGUACUAAAUAUUAGAGUGGAAAAUAUCAUAUUUUUUUUCUUUCUUCUAACAUAAUAUUUUUUUUUUAUUUUUAUUCAAUUUCUUAAGCAUAUAAAGAACUAUAUUUUCUGAAAUCGCCAAUUAAAAAUCUCAAAAAUUCAGGCUAUGGGAUCUGAUUUUCAGAGACCUUGCAAUAAAAAUAUGCAAAACAUUUGGAAAAGAGCUAUGAAUGUUGAUUUAAUGAAACUUUCCCAAUUUAAAAUGUGCGCCAGAGGUAUUAGUACUGAAUUACACAUAGUUUAUUUAACUAAUUGAUUUUUCUGCCUAAACCUUGACCUUUUGAGGUAUUUUUUAAAAUUUUAUUGAAGUUGUAAAUUUCUACUUUGAUGAUCAUCGAUGUUGUUCUAAAAUAUUCUUUAGUACAGAGUAGUGUACACCAAAAAGUAGUACUGGCAGUCGCCUUGUGCAAAAUUGUCUUUUGGCAAAUCGAAGCUUCUGGAAGCUCUUUCACCCAGGCCGGGGGUGUCUUGGUGAAAGGCGAGGUCGACAGGGAGGGAAAAUAUUGACAAACCACCCCCAAGGAGUUGCGCCAUCAUCCCCUAAGCACAUUUAGCUUCCAAGCACACGCCAAGUAGAAGAAAAAGAAGCAGGAAAAUCUCUUGUACAACUUUUCUGCUUCAUAUCUAAUCUUUGUUCUUUUGCUCUGCAAAAUCUUUAUGGUUUUUUUCCUUUCCUCGCUGGCGGGGUUUGGUACCAACAAAAAAAAAAUAAUAAUAAAUAUCUUGUUGCUAUGGGAAUGAAAAAAGAGCUGGAGGGUUGAAAUUUCUAGCAUCCUUGACAUCUCAGUUUUCCUAGGCGCGCGCUUUUGAUGAAAUUUGAUGGAAAAGUCUGGGUCGAGAUGAGAAAAUGGUGUCACUUUGAGCAUAAAAUAUUUCCAAACGGUUCUUUUUUUUCUACAUGACGCGCGAUCUUCGGCAUUUUUUUCUACAUAAAUUACAUUACAUGGGCAAAAAGACACAACAGAUGUUCGAAACAUUAAAAACCCCCAAGUAUUUCUUUAUGACCAUGGAUUUUAACUGUCCUCUUGUUCGAUUUUACUGGGAAACUUCAGGUAUAUCGGGGACACUGUGUAAAUGUUUUCCCUGGCCUCUGUGCCCUAAAGUCUUCUACCCCGAAAUGAAUUUUAUGAGGCAUACAAUUAAAUUUAUUGUCCAAAUGGCAAUAGGACUAGAACUCUAAACAGCUAAAGUUCAAACAUUGCUACACUCAGAAAAAUAUUUACAAUCAAUGAUUUUACAGUUUUUGCACAUUGGUUUUAGGAAGAUGUAGAUGUUUUGAAAUGCUAAAAUAAAUCCAUUUUUCUGGGCAUUAUUGAUCAUCUCGCAAAGGGUAAAAUUACCCUGAAUUACCCUGAAAUAAAUAUUACUUUAUUUUUUUUUUCUUUUUCUCAGUGUACAGUAGAAAUUUCAUACUCAGUUGUUUGGGAAGGAAUUAACGAUUUUGGAGAAGGGGGAUAACUUUCUAAAAACUUCCCUCGAUUAUUUUUUUUUCUGUCACCCUCCGUGAAUUUUUCAGCAUAAAUUUCUCCUGAAGGCUUCGACCCGAGAAAAGAGGCAACAUACCCAACAUACACUCAUAGACUUUGAUGGCAAUUGUCGAAG